UACGAAGGGGGCUAGCGUUGUUCGGAAUUACUGGGCGUAAAGGGCGCGUAGGCGGUCUUGUAAGUCAGGCGUGAAAGGCCCGGGCUCAACCUGGGGACUGCGCUUGAUACUGCGAGGCUUGAAUCCGGGAGAGGAUGGCGGAAUUCCCAGUGUAGAGGUGAAAUUCGUAGAUAUUGGGAAGAACACCGGUGGCGAAGGCGGCCAUCUGGUCCGGGAUUGACGCUGAGGCGCGAAAGCGUGGGGAGCAAACAGG
Molecule: ribosomal RNA, 253 nt
Filed under: uncultured bacterium
Lineage: Bacteria
Description: partial 16S ribosomal RNA
Rfam family: Bacterial small subunit ribosomal RNA
Source: RNAcentral